This 101-nucleotide small nucleolar RNA is filed under the name Corchorus capsularis. RNAcentral describes it as "snoRNA snoZ279_R105_R108". It matches the Rfam family "Small nucleolar RNA Z279/snoR105/snoR108". Rfam says of the family: This family includes the plant snoRNAs known as Z279, snoR105 and snoR108. All three are members of the C/D class of snoRNA which contain the C (UGAUGA) and D (CUGA) box motifs. The record is from Rfam by way of RNAcentral. Lineage: Eukaryota; Viridiplantae; Streptophyta; Magnoliopsida; Malvales; Malvaceae.
GGGAUAUGAUGAGUGGUCAUUACUCGCACGCGAUGCGAGAUGGGUGUCCGCCACGCCUGGUUACGACAACCUGGGCACUCCCAUUUUUACCAUCUGAUCCC